AUAUUGCACAAUGGGCGCAAGCCUGAUGCAGCCAUGCCGCGUGUGUGAAGAAGGCCUUCGGGUUGUAAAGCACUUUCAGUCGUGAGGAAGGUAGUGUAGUUAAUAGCUGCAUUAUUUGACGUUAGCGACAGAAGAAGCACCGGCUAACUCCGUGCCAGCAGCCGCGGUAAUACGGAGGGUGCGAGCGUUAAUCGGAAUUACUGGGCGUAAAGCGCAUGCAGGUGGUUUGUUAAGUCAGAUGUGAAAGCCCGGGGCUCAACCUCGGAAUAGCAUUUGAAACUGGCAGACUAGAGUACUGUAGAGGGGGGUAGAAUUUCAGGUGUAGCGGUGAAAUGCGUAGAGAUCUGAAGGAAUACCGGUGGCGAAGGCGGCCCCCUGGACAGAUACUGACACUCAGAUGCGAAAGCGUGGGGAGCAAACAGGAUUAGAUACCCUGGUAGUCCACGCCGUAAACGAUGUCUACUUGGAGGUUGUGGCCUUGAGCCGUGGCUUUCGGAGCUAACGCGUUAAGUAGACCGCCUGGGGAGUACGGUCGCAAGAUUAAAACUCAAAUGAAUUGACGGGGGCCCGCACAAGCGGUGGAGCAUGUGGUUUAAUUCGAUGCAACGCGAAGAACCUUACCUACUCUUGACAUCCAGAGAACUUUCCAGAGAUGGAUUGGUGCCUUCGGGAACUCUGAGACAGGUGCUGCAUGGCUGUCGUCAGCUCGUGUUGUGAAAUGUUGGGUUAAGUCCCGCAACGAGCGCAACCCUUAUCCUUGUUUGCCAGCGAGUAAUGUCGGGAACUCCAGGGAGACUGCCGGUGAUAAACCGGAGGAAGGUGGGGACGACGUCAAGUCAUCAUGGCCCUUACGAGUAGGGCUACACACGUGCUACAAUGGCGCAUACAGAGGGCGGCCAACUUGCGAGAGUGAGCGAAUCCCAAAAAGUGCGUCGUAGUCCGGAUUGGAGUCUGCAACUCGACUCCAUGAAGUCGGAAUCGCUAGUAAUCGUGGAUCAGAAUGCCACGGUGAAUAC
This 1016-nucleotide ribosomal RNA is filed under the name Vibrio alginolyticus. RNAcentral describes it as "bacterial SSU rRNA". It matches the Rfam family "Bacterial small subunit ribosomal RNA", at positions 361 to 1369 of the family's 1533-position model. Lineage: Bacteria; Pseudomonadati; Pseudomonadota; Gammaproteobacteria; Vibrionales; Vibrionaceae. The record is from RNAcentral.